CUGGAUUGGAAAAACGACCCGUACUGGGGCUGCAAAUCCGUAGGAAACUGCAUCCAAAAAACUAUUGGGGCUAGAGUGGUGGGAGAGGGAAGGAUGGAAUUAGUUGUGUAGGGGGGUAAAAAUUCCGGUUAGAGGGAAUAAAACUUAGGGGAAAAUUACCCCAAAAAAGGCGGGAAAGGGGCCAAAUCCUUUUUCUUGGGGAAAAACAAUUUUACCUUGGACAGGCCCUGUGAAGAGGGCCGGCCCGAAAAAAACCCGUUGUAGGCAAGCCCAAAACACAGGGGGAAAUUUAAAGAAAUUACCCCCCCCCCCUCGUGGUGGUGUGAUUUAGGGUUUUCCAAAACGGGGGGUGUGAGUAUGAUGGAACACCACCGUGUGAAAUAUCGAGACCAAACUCCCCCCUCCAUGUGCCGAAUAUAGGACCGCCCAAUUUUUCUGAGGGGUGGGGUUUUAAAAACCCCCCCCGUUGUGGAAAAAUACCCACCCGCCCAAAAAAAAAAAAAAUUGGUUUCUCGGGGGUUACCCCUUAUUUUUUUUUCCCAAAAAUUAAAAAUUCCCAGACUCCCGUUGGCCCUUUUAAAAACCCUUUCCCCCCCCUUUGUCCCCACCGAAGGUCCCCUAGGUACCCACCCGGACCCGGGGGUUUUUAAAAAAAUAUAACCCGGGGGAAAAAAUUGGGGGUUGGACCCAAAAGGGGCCGGAAUUUUUAAACUUUUCGGGGGCAAAAAAUCCCUAUCCUUUGGGGGGGGGCCGAGAUUAAAUAAGGGCCGGGGCGGGUCCUUUCAAAGUGGUCCGGGGUCACAAUUUUAUAUAAAAGGCGUUUGGAGGAAAUGGAAUGCCAUAUAAGGACCCCCUAAACGGGGGCCCUUUCCAAAACCCCGUUUUAGGUAAAACCUUUGGGCCAAAUUCCCCCCACACACAACAACCUUUAAACAUUUAAGUGGCCUUAAAGGGAAGGGGUUUCCCUCGCGCGCGUGUAAAGGGGGGGGGAAAAAAAAGAGACACACUCGGGGGUUAAUUUCUAAUCAUGGGCCUUCUCUGGGGGUUGGGGGUUUACACCGCGGUGGGGGGGGACUCUAAGAGAGAAGAAUUUUCUGCCCGCGCGGGUCUUUUAAAGUGCUCCAACAGGGGGAGAACACCUUCUUAUAAU
RNAcentral lists this ribosomal RNA (1150 nucleotides) under uncultured Campylobacterota bacterium. Its description in RNAcentral is "uncultured Epsilonproteobacteria bacterium partial 16S ribosomal RNA". The record is from RNAcentral. Lineage: Bacteria; Pseudomonadati; Campylobacterota.